RNAcentral lists this microRNA (20 nucleotides) under Nematostella vectensis (starlet sea anemone). RNAcentral describes it as "nve-miR-9445". The record is from miRBase by way of RNAcentral. Lineage: Eukaryota; Metazoa; Cnidaria; Anthozoa; Actiniaria; Edwardsiidae.
UCUGUGUCGCUCGUUUACUU